CCUACGGGGGGCAGCAGUGAGGAAUAUUGGUCAAUGGUCGGGAGACUGAACCAGCCAAGCCGCGUGAGGGAGGAAGGUACAGAGUAUCGUAAACCUCUUUUGUCAGGGAACAAAGACUGGGACGCGUCCCCGGAUGAGUGUACCUGAAGAAAAAGCAUCGGCUAACUCCGUGCCAGCAGCCGCGGUAAUACGGAGGAUGCGAGCGUUAUCCGGAUUUAUUGGGUUUAAAGGGUGCGUAGGCGGUCCGUUAAGUCAGCGGUAAAAUUGCGGGGCUCAACCCCGUCGAGCCGUUGAAACUGGCAGAC
This 305-nucleotide ribosomal RNA is filed under the name uncultured bacterium. RNAcentral's name for it is "bacterial SSU rRNA". It matches the Rfam family "Bacterial small subunit ribosomal RNA", at positions 338 to 641 of the family's 1533-position model. The record is from RNAcentral.